GUGCUUUUCUUGUUCAAGCUGCUGUUUGAUACACUAGCUAUGAGUCAUGAGUGUUGUGGAGUAGUAAGAAACUCAGAACCAUUAAUAGUAUGGAUGCAUAGUUUAGCGUCAUUGCCGCAUUGCCGCGAGUUAUCUUGAGAGAGUAGAGGUAACUUGAUUUACCUUAGUGGUAUUGCACGUUGCAAAACCAAGGAACGAAAAAUCAUACGGCCAAAGCAGGAGAGAAGUUUCAUCAGUUUACUCCUUUUACUUAUAAAUUCGAAAAUACAGUUUGGCAUAAUUAUUAUGUAAUGUUUCUCAACACACCUACUUCCAUUCCUCUAACUGCUCUGUUCUGGUUUGUUACCAAUUUCUGCUGCCUGC
RNAcentral lists this unclassified non-coding RNA (363 nucleotides) under Hevea brasiliensis (rubber tree). Lineage: Eukaryota; Viridiplantae; Streptophyta; Magnoliopsida; Malpighiales; Euphorbiaceae. The record is from RNAcentral.